CAGUCGCCGCGGGAAUACAGAGGGUGCGAGCGUUAAUCGGAUUUACUGGGCGUAAAGCGUGUGUAGGUUGUUGUUCAAGUCAGUUGUGAAAUCCCUGGGCUCAACCUGGGAACUGCUUCUGAGACUGAACGACUAGAGUACGGUAGAGGGUGGUGGAAUUUCCGGUGUAGCGGUGAAAUGCGUAGAUAUCGGAAGGAACAUCAAUGGCGAAGGCAGCCACCUGGGCCUGUACUGACACUGAGACACGAAAGCGUGGGGAUCAAACAGGAUUAGAUACCCGGGUAGUCCCUGUCUCUUAUAC
This 301-nucleotide ribosomal RNA is filed under the name uncultured bacterium. RNAcentral describes it as "partial 16S ribosomal RNA". It matches the Rfam family "Bacterial small subunit ribosomal RNA", at positions 509 to 807 of the family's 1533-position model. The record is from RNAcentral.